CGGAGCCGCUCGCGGCGCUCGUCCCCGCGGCCCAGGCGGCAGCUCGGGGUCCCUUAGGGACGGUGUCGCGCUCUGCGGCUCUGCUCCCGUCAGAGGCUCGCAGACGUCGUCGCCGUCCUGUUGAUACCGUUAACGCUCUGAGCUUCAGUUAACGAUUGCCCCUUCCUCCUCCGGUGCGGUCUGUGCUCCAUCCUAACGCUGCCGUCACACCGCCGGUUUCGUGCGUUUGACCCGGGAGCUUGCCGCUGGGCGAGGCCUACGGGUCGGUUCAGAGACGCCGCAGACUCAAAGCACGGAUCCGGGCAGGGCACGCGGCUCUCUGCAGGGGGGAUGCCGGCCUACAGUGCUGGCUCCGCGCAGCCGGCGCAGGAAGCGGGCAGCGGGCCCAGCUCCGCCAGCGGCUGUUACCUGGGCGGGUGGCCUUAAGGCCCCGCGCCAUCGUCCUCACGCUCAGUGCGUGCGUGGUGGAGGAGAGCACGCAGGAAGGAGGGCAGAGCGGCCCUCCUGCCCUGAAGAGAACGGUUUCGCUCACCUGUUCUGCGGUCCCUGUGCCAUUGUGGCCCUGAAUGUUUUUCCCACAAGUACCUGCACGCUGCUUCCCACACCUCUCACUCCGGCAGUCAUUCGCUCUCUCCUCUCCUCGCCUGCUAUUAUAUCCCUCUUAACGGACGUAGGCACAGACAGUAAAACUCCACUUUUUCCUCUAGAUCACAACGAAUACAACAAAAUAAAGUGAAAUAAUUCAAACCUUAAAUGUUUUCCCCUUGAGACUUCUACGCGGACAUCUCAGCGCGAGGUGAGAUGUUCUUGGGUUUAGAAAGAUGCAGGGAAAUCACAGUGCUGAAUGCAGCAGAAGGAAAGCUGAGGUUCCACAGAGGGUGUUUCAGCACAGCUCCGGGGCGUUCCCCGGGUCCCACACAGCCCUGUCAGCGCACGAUGACUCAAAAGAAGAUAGAACAAUUAAUGCUCAUUUUUACUGUUUCAACCGAUUAUUUCUGGCUUGAGAUAGUGCAGAAGUUACUCACAGUGCAUAGGGCUCUGUGCCUCCCUUCAUUGCUACCCAAACAGCAAUGUCCUAUUGACCUAUUGGCAGUUGUGAAUCACGGAACUUGAUUUUUUGUUAAACGUGCCACCAUAUCGCACCGACUCGUAACAAUAAAAGUCUUGGCAGUAACGGGUGCAGGGAGAAUCGACACUGCUCUAAAGAGUAAGUGAGAAAGGGAAGAGCGGAAAGGCCAGUUCCACGGCAUGAAGGACUGCAGGAGGGGAACCGGCACAGCCCCACUGGUACUGCCCGGUGCUGCUGACGUGCACAAGCAUGCCUGCUCCCCAGCCAGCUGCUCCCCUCUUACUGGGAGCAGAGAAGAGGUGACUGGGGCAUUUGCUAACUUGGUGCUGUACACAUAGCUUACACACAGAAGUCAGUCGCCAAACUGCCGCUGCUCAUUACGAUAUUUGGUAAUUUACAGGCACCCGGCUAUGCUGCCAACGGUGGACAGAAGUCAGAAACAGAGUGGCAUCUAGCUGCCCAGCAGAACAGCACUGGAGGAUUGCGGCACUGGCUGCUACACAGGCCCGUAUUUAAAUACAGUCUAUAAAAAACUGCAAGAGUGCAUACUUGGAAGAGGUGACGCUAGGACAGCGCUCAUAGCCAAGCCACAAAGGAAAAUUUAUUUGCAUUAAAAGGGGAGGUUUGGGACACACACAAAAAAGCAGGAGCAGCAGCGGCUUAAGUGUCUGAAAGCCAGAGCUAUUUACUUAAUUAAAGAAUCCUUCCACCCAUACAAAGUAUUCUCAUUAUGGGAGACAAAAAAAUCAAGCUGAUCCUCAGGCACUGCAGCAGGAAAAAAAUAUACUACAGCCUUGCAGCAGCAGCUGGGGACCCUAUCACCGUACUACGUCCACUGCACUGUUUGCCAACAUCCACACCGCCGUGUCAGUCAGGUGGAAAAGUCACACAUGCGUGGAGUUUGCUGCACAGCAGCCCAGGACAUUUGAGAAGUAGUGCAGCAAGCGCAGAGUGAGCUACAGGCUCACUCCCAAACCUCGCGUAGUCCAGAUGUACCACUAAUUUUCUGGGUUCCUAAUUAAUGAAUCAAGAUCUACCCCCCCCCCCCCCCCCCCCCAUCGGAAUUAUUCUCUGCCAUUCUAAGAGCACAGCCUGUGCGUAAGUGUAGUGAAUGAGAUCCUUCUAUCUAGGGGAAGUGUUGCUCUGCAAUUUUUAGCUAUCUAAUCAGCCAAAGUGCUAAUCCAUACCUGGAUUUUUGAUAGCUUAUUAAUUAGCUAUAAAUUCCUGCGCUGAAUUGCUUCCCCACUCCCCUAAGAAUACAAUUACAUGGCUUGUAGAUGAUAUGUUAUAUGAUACCAUUCCAUUCGAAAACAUUUGCAGAUAUUAACUGCAGAGUAAGAAAAGAAUUGGUCUUAGAAGGCCAUAAAGCCCAGCAAUUAAAAACUAAUUAGAACUGAAACAAUGAGCCUUUUAUUAGAUCCAAGUUCAAAAAAGAUCCAACGGUAAAUUCCAGUGUACUAUUUCAGUCCAAGUGUGAAUCACGACUUGUGGCAUAAAGGGGAAUAAAGCAUUUUCUUUGAGCAGCCACACCCCUUAUGAUUGGCAAUGGAAGAAAGAUUAUGAGAAGGAUGAAAAGGUUGCCCAAGGUGACUUGGCAGCUCCAAGCUUUUGUCUCAGUUUUUCUGUGGGAAAUCGCUGCUUCCUGGGCCUGUACAGCUCCCUCUCACUAUCUCAGCUACCUCACACCAAGCAGACUCUGCUCGCAGUGAAGAUGAAGGUGUUUUGGUGACACUGGCGUGUCACACGUCCUGCAGCCCAGUGGGGUUGCAACGCCUUGCCCUGCCAGCAUACAGCUUACGGUGCUGGCAUUCAGCACACAAGUCCAGGUACGACUGAGUUGCACUGAAAAGUUAGACUGUGCCUUUCCACAUUGCAUGUAGGUUUUUCUUUUCCUUUCUUUAUUAUUUUACACAAACACAUUUUUCUAAUGAAAACUCCAGGUUCACUGACACCGUUCUUUUCACACCAACAUUCUCAGCAGGUAAUCACAUCCAAGUCACCAUCUUACAUUUCUUUUUUUACCAAAAUUUGGUGUCAAAAUCCUUUCUGAGUGACACUCUGCUAGACAAUAGCCAAACCUACCGCGGCACAGACAGCACGCCAUCACCUCGUGCACUCACUGGGCAGAACUGAGUUUGCUGGAGCAAACUUUGUACCCAUCUACAGUGUGAUCAGGAAAAAAAGAUACGAGAACAUUAGAGGAGUGAGAAGAAAGGAAAAAGGCAAACCCUAAGGUCUUCAUCACUGUGUGAAACAACGGAAAAAUGGAAAAGAACAGGCUAUUGACAAAGAGACCCAUUCACACCAAAGGCAGCAAUGAACAAAGGGCAAAUGAAGGUGGAAAAAGAAAGUCACUCACAGAAAAUGUUUUAACUUUGAGGUUAGAAAUAAAUGGUCCUGUGACAUACUUUGGAAAUUCUGUGAUUCUGCAGGAAAGAAAAAAAAAGUCAUUAAAAACUUAAAACUGAACUGAAUUCUUCCCCCUUGGUAGAUGAUCAGCAAUCUAGGACACUACAGUACAGCUUAACUGCAUGCAGACUCCCCUCUUAAUAGCUCGCAUUUAUUUUAAGACAGGCAGUUCCAUUGCCUACUUUUUCUGUGCCUUUACCAGCACUUGGCACAUGGACACAGCAGCUGCCUGAAGCAGGAGUUGGUGAAGCCAUGGCAAUACUGGGAGAAGGGGAAACCAUAGAACAUGACGCAACUUGUAGCUGGUCAUCACUGAGAGCAGCCUGUGUGAGAUUCACUUGGCAGAGCAAGAGCUCUUCCACAUACUGGGACCUUUUUUUAAUUCCUUGCUAUCUAACCUUGCAUAGAGGUUAGACAUUGCUAUUUCAUGCACAGAAUAGUAAACACAUCAUAGAAAAAUUUACCAAGGUAGGCAAUGAAGGGAGGAGAUCAAAGCAUGUAUUAGGUUUAAGCACAUUUUACUAAUACCAACGUGUUCAUGCCUGGAUGCUCCAAGUGACCUGAGUUUCUUCUCACUUCCCAGUGCAGGACACGGGAGGUGUGCUGUAGCGAUGUGCAGAUCCUGUCAGUGGAUGAAUGUACAGCUGAAAAAUACUCUCAGAAAGAGGAAUAGGACUGUUGUGUUAAUGCAAGGCAUAGGAUGAAGUGGAAACAUGAAGCACCAAAUGUUGUGGUCUAUUUUCAGCUCUUAGGAACAAGGGAAUUCUGCGUGUGACAGUCCUCCCCCAUUCAAUCCCACUUCUUCUGACUCCACUACGGUGCUGCUCUGAUCCCUGCAUCCAAAGCCUCAAGCAAAGCACUUCAGAGAAGAUCAGCCUGCAGAAGUGGCACCAAGGUAAUUGUCAGGGGCAUCUCUGUACUGCUAUCCUGGCACAGCUCUGUACUGGUCCUUGCAGCCGCAGUACGGCCAGCGUGGUAAGGAUGUAUAUCACUGUACAGAUGUUAUUUAAAAUAUCAACGAUACCUUGGUCACUCCAAAGUGGAGAGAUGCCCUGGGAGUAGGGUGGGGUAGUGUCAGCAAAACCACCUUUGUUUUUGUACAGCUACCUGAAAAUACAUCAGCACGUCAGCAGAAGUUAGAAGGGCCCAAUGAUGGAUUUACCUAGAACAAUGAUAUUUCAUUGCAGAGCUACAGCAUUUCAAUGUAGAAGUAUACAUGUUUUCAUGCAGAACUACUCCUGUUAGUUCCUAUAGAACAGUAACCCUUCCUACUUGCAGCUUUUUGCAGCAUUUUAAUUGCUAUUGCAUUACAGAGAUGAAGUGUCUGCUGUAUGACUGUAAAUACAGCUGGUAUUGCAGUGCUUGUCAUUGACAGAGAAAAAAAUAUCCAACUAACAUUUGCUAACAUGUUCACUAGCACCAGAAUCCUCUUGAAAUACAUUUACAGGGGGCAAAGCUCAAUACAAAUACACGUGCAGCAGCUGAUACACUUCUUUCAGCCUGAGGCUAUGCAACUUUUACAUAUCAAAUAGCAACAAAUGUUAUCUACAGGCUCGUAAGGGGAGGAGCAGUGAGCAAGCUGAGGCAUUUCAAACACUUUCAGAGAUUACUUUGCAAUAAACUGCACAUGGGCUGGCUCACAGCCAGGAGGAAAUCUUUGUGAGCAAUCAGGAGGAGAUGUGGUGCUGCCACGAGACAUUCAGGGCUGGAAAAGCAAUGCUAACUGGUUGUGCUGAAGGAGUCUCAGACCACUGCUGCCACUCAGAUGUGGCCUCUGCAGAGCCCUGCGUGGCUGGGAUGUGGGCUUGGAUCCAGCCUAGGUCACCUGUGUCACCGCGGUGCCUCCCAGAGCAGUGCAAUAGGGUGAAACCAUUUGGACUUCGAGUCCCGUGGAGUACCUUUGGAACUAAUUCACAGCCCAUGAGGCAGAGACCAUUCUCCAUUCACUUUGCCCUGCAUACCAUGGUGCCUGCAUCCAGAGCUCAGAGAUGCAACAGAAGAUGGUGAAAGGCCAGCAGAUAUCAGAAAAGUAGAAAUUUUUUAUAGAACUUCUACUAUCCAUUGGUACGACACGACACGUAUUCAGCACUGCAAGAGCCAGCCCAAGUUGUUUCUGAUGUACCUUCAGACAUCAAAACUGAAAGAUUUUACUUUAAUAACAGAGAGCUUUGGAACCAACUCCUCUCCCUUUGAAUCCAUAACUUGUUCUCACUACACAUGAAGGUUUUCAGUGUAAGUAUAUGAGAUUAUUCAUUUCCCUACAUUCUCCAGCCCCAUUAAAUCUCAACUUUCAUCAUGAUUUUCAAAGACACUUCAAGUCCUUUUCAACAGUUUUGAGAAACUUGCUGGGAGGGAAUGCAUUUCCAAACUAUCUGUUUUCUCAUGAAAACUGAGUUUUGCCUGGAUGCCAGGGUCAGCAGACGUUUUAUAAAUAGGUUUGGACAGAUGACAGGAAAUGAUGUAAGGUAUCAGUCCACUCCACAGAGGGCAACUGCCUGUAGUGCCCAGGAAAGAGGGACUCACACCACUGACUGCUACACAGGAAAAACAACAACAAAAACAACAACAAAAAACCAAAACAACUGCAGAGAAGCAUCACUUACUGCAGAUGGUUUCAGGUUUGUGAAGCACAAGAUCUCUGGCCUCCAUAUUACAGCUCAAGCAAAAAAAAAAAAGUAUUUGCUUGCAACUAUACUACAGUGAAAACCAGGACAAUUAAAUUUUCCUUUGAAGAGGAAAAAUUGAGCAGAAUUGUCUAAACUCGCUUUGUCUUUUACUAAUAAGGAGGAGCUUUCUGCUCCUGACAUGCUCUAAAUGCCAGCAGGCAUUGGAGAUUCUCCAGACUGUGACUGGUGCCAAACACCGGGAUCAUCUUCUUACCCUGGCAUUUACCAUCAGCUUCAGCAAAGUCUUUUCCAAUUCAAACUGCUUUAAAUGGGCUCCAAUUAUAGCUGCUUAGAAGUUAAUCUUUAUCUAUUCAUUUGAUCCCAAUAACUAUCUGCUCCUCUUCGCAAUAUCAGUACAGAUUGGAGAAGCAAUUCACUGUCUCAUUUUGUUUCUGUCAGCCUUCACAAAGGUAAAACUCAACCACUUACUCCCAAAUAAAUGCUUUUGUUGCAAGAGGGGCAAAGUCCACAGCAGAAUUCUCAACAGGUUGAACUUCAGCACGUUAACUGCAGCCUUCCCCCAAGGUGCAGCUCUUCCUAACACCAGCAAGCCCUGCUCACCCCAUUCCUCACCACGCUUUCACACCACCACUGACUGACAGCGCUCUGUGUAACAGCAGGCUACAAGCGCUAGUGAGACACAGUGACCUACCCAGCAGAUGUGCCCGCUGUCUCUCAGUGCUGAGAGAAGCCCGGCUGCAGCGUGCAGAAGAGCUGUCUUUGGAGGAGCACCAAGCACUCACGUGCAUUUGCACACAGCUCCUCUGCCCAGCCACAUCCCCACAACCACCUGCAGUGCCAUCUCAUGCAGAGUCAGCCCCAGGCACACUAGCAUGAGGCCUCUGCUGGUGUUUUUCUUUACCAAAGAGUUAACAUUUGAUCCUUCUGGUGGCCCUGCUUUUAGAAGUGGAGAGUUUCUGCUCAUCGUUUGUUACUUAUCUGUUCCCAUGACAGACAAAACAGCCUAGAAGCGCUCCCUACCUAUGGCAGGAAUACGUAAUACACGACACGUUUCUUAAGCUUCUGUACCGAGUAACUAACUUUACCAAUGCUGUGAAUUUAUAAAACUCUACAGAACUUGAUUUUUUUGCACCGAAAGCAUUGCAUCUGACUGAAUUUUUGUUAUUUUCGAGAUAUACAGUUAUUAUCUCUAUCAGGCAGUAUUGAAACAGAAACGUCCCAAACCUUUCCUGUUAAAGUCUGUGCAAACAGAAACAGAAUCCAUCUGCCUAUAUGUAAAUUCCAGAAAUUAAAGCAAAUCCAGUCGUUAGUGGUGUUCACACAUGGUGUGUGUGCAUGCGAGAAAGAGUCUGAGAGGAUACAGGAGAAGGUGGGCAAGGCUGUCAGCCUCUGUAGAGCUCAAUGAGAAUACCAGGGCAUGAGAUCCAACUGUCCUUAAUGAUCACCAGCAUAAAAAACAGACAAAAAAGCCCUAGAACUGUAAACCUGGACCUCAUUCUUUUCUGCACUUGUAAAGAAAACCUAUAUACACUAUUUGCUUCCUGACCCUACAAGAAAAAGUGUCUACAUGCCUAUUCAUUGAACAGGCUGCUCCACAUAGACAUGUUCUUCUUGUACAGAGCUAAUGCAGACUGCUUCACAGAAAUAUCUCCACAGGACUUUCCAGUGCUGAGAAAUCACUGAGAAACAGCCCAAUCAUAUAACGUACAAUCAUGUUUGGUACAGAGCUGUUAGAACAAAAACUUAUGAGACACCACAUGCACCUAAAGCUGGAUUUUGUGGCAGGGGGGAAAGAUAUUCUGCCCUCAUUCUUUCUGUUUAAUGAAACAUCGGAGAAGCAUUUAAGGCUCAGCUAAAAUCAAUUACUGAUAAGGCUAUUUUAAUAAACAGAAAUAUUGCUAACCCUUAUCUCAAAUUUCUUCUUAUUGUUUAAUCUGGACACUCCCAAAACAAAGGCAUCUGAGAUCAGCCGAAGAAGGAGAGUUUCAACCUUUGGAUCAGCUCUAAUUGCAAUACUUCAUUCUCAUGAUUGCUGCAAUUCAAUAGACCUUGAUGUCAUAAUAGAAAUUACAUGGCUGCUCUUGCUGUCAUCCAGGGCAAUGUAACUGAGCACAUAUGGACACUGUCUAAUGUUCCUGGCAUCUCACAGUGCCACGAGCCAGGUGAAAGCCCAGUCCCUUUUCCCUUGCACCCAUUAUAACAGAAGACAGGUGAACAAGUCCAUUCAUUCUUUUUCAGCUGCAAGAAAAUAUUUGUGACAAGGCCAGGCUACUCAAUGUGACAUUACACUUGGUCACCCAAAGCAAUGAAGUAUAAGGCUUCAGCCACUGAACAGGGGAAAGACUCUUCCUGGUAGUCUGUCUUGAAUGAACAGUCCAGAGGGAUGGACUGCAGCCUACAAACCCCUCAUCUUUUCCUUGUUAUUAAGUUCUCCAAAACAGAUAGCCUCUCUAAGCUUUAAAUUGUCUCAGAAAAGACAUACCCUUUAUGCCAAGGAUGGGUGCAAGUCUCACCCCUUGCCACCAGAGUCCAACCAUCCUGACAGGUCUGGACAAAGAGUAUCCUUUGUGCUGCUCCAAAAUCCUUCUUCAAGGGCAACACCAAGGAAGAGCUGACCCUCAGGUUGGCCUGUUACACACACACUGUCUUCAAAAUGCAGUGCCAUAUUCACUAAAAUGAAAUUGCUGUUUUCUGCCCCAGCCCAGCAAAGGUUUCAGAAUGUCAGCUAUUUAUUUUUUCCUGUCAGACUACCCAGGCUGGUAUUUCCACAGCUGCAUGGACUGUCUAAAUGCUUGAGAAAAGUGAGAUUAUAAUGGUCUGUGAUAAUACUCCUGUUUCAAUAAUUAAGGCAAUUCAUUUACUUGGAGAAAAAAUGAUUCAAGGACUGUAUGUACAAUCUGCGUUCAAAGUACUACCCUGAACCCAGUGCUUAUCAUCCUUGGUCCAAUGAUACUUGUUAGUAAACAAGACAGAUGUAAUCAUUGCUAGGAGUAAUAGUAAAUCAGUGGCAAGGCUUGAACAGGCCAUUGUCAAGUUGGAAAACUUCAGCCAAGCACAUGCAGUAACUGCUGAAAUCAAAUGAAAAAGCAGAGCAGUAAUUGAAACUUUUGAACCUUUUUACACAGAGGAGCAAGAAAAUUUAUCUUCCUGAUUGCUCUAACGUUUCAGAUAGCAGGAGAACAUGGGAAUAUGGCCUUAAUGUCAGCUAGUAAACUUCUGUGACCUUUCAAGGGAGCUAUAUCUGCCAUGACGAUCGUGGUAAUCAGAACAAGCUCUAUCUGCUCUGACACAGGUUGGCUGCAUGAGCAGAUACCUCUUUUUCUCUCCACAAGUGCUCAGCGCUUUGCUUCAUUCAUUGUACAAGACAGACAGUGCUCACCUGAUUAGCAGUAAUUGGAUACCAGGAAAAAUAAAAUCCAUGUACUGCCCUAUGUCUUAUUCAUCACGUCCUGCCCUGGUCUGAGGACAGAAUCACAGGCAAUUUUUUCACUUUACAGGGCUUAAGGGUUCUGCAAAUAUCCAUUAAUUUUAUUUCUCCAAUCUGCAAAGCUACCAGGAUAUCAUCAUUUUCACUAUUUUGAACAGAGUCACAAAGAUCAAUGUCACAGUAACCGUUAAUAGCAGCCAAUUUGAAAUUCCUAGAACUUUCGAAGCAAUCGCUACUUUAUUCUACCGUUCAGGUUUUCAAAGUGAUUGGUACUUCUUUCACCAACUGCAGACCCACAACGUUCUGAAUUUUGAGCAUUUGCAGAUAAUUCGAGGCUUUGUCCAGGUUGGACUUCCCCCAGCACCAGAACAUCCCCAUGUGGCUGUGUUUGCACACCCUCCACACCAGCCUCUCCACCCCCUUUCAGCUGCUCCACUGAUUUCCCAUUCAAUUCCCAGUUGCUAUUUGCUUUUCAAAUUCAAGUAAGAUUUGUUACGUUUUUUACAAAGUUUUCUCUCCAACCUAUUCCUUAAAAAUUCCCAACUCAUUCAGUACUCAUUUCUUCUGCAUUUGAGCCAAGCAGCUGCUUCCAGCUUCUUACCCGCAGGAGCCUUUGAAAGCAGCACAUGUGAGGAAUGGUCCACUUACAUCAUAUUAAGGUGCCCCAACCCAACAAAACCUGCAGCAGCCCACAGAUACAGUCACAGGAGAAUUCCUAUUUAGAAGUUUUUUCAGCUGGAACACACCCAGUACUGACAGACUGCUUGGGGAAUUUGUCUGCUACCACAUCUAUCCAGCCUACCAAACCUGAGGUCUCCAGUUCAUAUACAUUAAGAGAUUUUCCACAAGGAUAAAACACAGCUUUGAUUCCCAAUUUCAAGAAUGUCCUCCUGUUCUGGAACAGGCAAGGGACUUCUAAAGACUUUGUUCACCUGCUUUAAAAGUAGGGCAAAAUCGAUGCUUUCCUCCAGCUCAGUUCUUGUUAAAUGGCAAAGCAGUUGAGCUAAAUAUUCCAGCAAAGUUCAGAUUCGGUUGCGUACCUGGCACAAAACCUUUCUAUCCAAAGACUUACUUAACAGUCAGUCAAGUUGCAUCUAUCCAAAAAGAGGCAUGUACUCCCCCAGACUGUGGCAAUGCAGGAGCUCCACAGCCUCACCAGAGCCACGCUGUGCUUUGCCAUGCCACUGCCCUAAAGCUGCUCCCCAUCACUUCUCCCUGUGGCAAAGGAACAGACACACAGCUGCUUCUCCGUACCCAGACCCCUAUCAGGCUGCACUGCACUUCUAGGCAGCCUUUUCCUGACAUGCCCUGGGAGCUUGAAAGCCACUAGUCAUGCUGAGAGUCAGUAUGAGGGCCUUCUCACAUGAGAACAUAUAAGAGCUGAAAAAGAGAGGAUCUGUGUUUCUUUGACCAAAGGAGCACUGGCGGUGCGAAGGUGUGGGGGCACAGAGAGGCUGCGCGCUGCUGCUGGGGGUGUGGAGGGCUCUAUUCGAUACGCCCUACGAUUCCCUGUUCCACAAAAAUAUUCCAUGAUUCUAUGAACUAAUCUCCAUCGUCAGCUUCUCCAUAACCUCAGCUUUUGGCUGGUUGGAGGGACUGUGCUCAGGGGAUAGGAAGAGAUAGCAAUAAGGCAGCGUUAGCUUGGCUUUCAGGUGGUGACAGCGGCUGUAACUUGUUAUUAUCUCCACAUGACAAGCACUCCAAGACACCCCCACACCAAUCCUAUUAUGAAAAGCUAGAUUUCACAAAGCUGUUUUCCAACAUGUCAUACCCAGGUUUUGUGGCUUCCCCUGACAGUUUCACAAAGACAGGUCACAGCCGAGGAGCACAAGCCGGGGCCUGGCCUGGCCCACAGGCCCUUCCCACAGCCCCGCUCUCUGGCUUUCAUGGCGGCUGUUCCACCUGUCUGUCAUUCAGCAGCAGGUUGGCUCCUGGGGUCUUUACUGAGUGAGGGACAUGAGCAGGAGAUCCCAAAAUGAGACCUGUCCCUCCUGCUCCCCCUGCUCACAUGAGCCACCCUCCGUCACCCCGCAGGGCCUCGCUCGGUGCUGCCGGCAUCACCUGAAGAAAGCACGCAAGUUGCUUGUGAUCCUUCAGCAAAAUGCUCACAGUUACGGCAAGCAGAAGCCUAGGAGAUACAUCCCCAAAUUCACCCUUCUGUUCUUUAAAACUAGUGUUUAUUUGUGUUGCAGGUGAUGGCAGCCCCCAGUCUACCCUCACUCAUGUUUUCCCACGUGCCGAGAUGAAGCUUUGACACUCCUCUCCCUCUGCAGAGAGAGCACAGCGUUUACAUUUACAGGAACGGAGCUGUGCUUACAUAACGCUUCAGACAAUGCCAAGUCGAAUGACUGACAGAGGAAAAUCUUCUGUUAAAAAUAUAUUUUUCGUCUUUCCCAGAGAUCUAAUCUAUCUUCUGUGCAUUCCUGACCUUCAGAAAGUAUUUCCAUCUCUCACAUUAAGUAUAGCAAUCCUCUUAACAAGGGAACAUUUUGUUAGAGCUUUAAAUUGGGUUACGUAAAUUAUUUGUAGUUUUGACAGCAGGUUUCUCUUCCGUCCACAAGGACGGACGGCUGUUAGGAGAUUGCUACAAGGUUCAUUUGCAAUCACAGCAAAUAAUCAUCUGAAGGCACUGUUUGGAAUGGGAUCUUACCUAGGGAUACCCGGUACAUUUAGUAAGGUAUAAAAGCUUUUGUAAAAGCAGCAUCUUUGAUAAAUAAUUUGCAGUACAGUAACCUUCACACAAUUUAAAAAACAAAAAAACAACUGAUGUGAAUGGUAAGUUAAAGAAAAAAGAAUAACUUCCAACUCCCAUAAACUUUAGGAGGAACAGAACACAGAUGGGAAAAAAAAUCUAUUUAUCUAUAGAAACAGAGAGAGCACACAGCUCCCUGCCAGCGAGUGCUGCCUGGCACCAAGUGCAUGCCAGCCCCUGAGCUUACCCUUGCUGGCUACAAUGGGAAUCGAGAGCGGUCAGGAUUGGGCGCUUUGCAUCCACUCAAGUACUUGCUCAGAAAAAAAGAGCACAGAAUAGAAAAGUUGUUCAAGAAGUACCAGCACUACCUUUAGCACUGCAUUAGAAGGCUCUGCGACUGAAGAAAGAUAUUUUUCAGUACUCUGUUCCCACUCUUCCUUCUCAGCACCUCUCCUGGUCAGAACAUGUGGAAUGGCAGUGCGGCAUCCCUCCUUCCCUCCUGCAGCCACUGUUCAGGCUGACUGGGGCACUGAGUUUCUAACAGUUGCUUCAGGAGUGGGAAAAGAAGGGCACGAUUUAUAAAUCUGGUCACACUCCUUUUUUUUUUUGUUGUUGUUUUUUUUAAGGUUCCCCGUUAAAUUUGUGAGCAGCUUUAAAGAUAAGAGCAACAAACAAAUUAAGCGAUAUUUUAUUCAAAUUGAAAGCGUUUUGUUUGACUUUGGAACACGGAUCGCUUAAGGGGAAAAUUUAAAGUGGGGAUUUUCGGAUCAAAAUACGGACAUUUCAUUUUAAAAUCUCCUUAAGAGUAUCUCAGAUUUUUCUCCCUAAUGACAAGAGCAGUGAGUUACAAUUCAAGGAAGUUUGGGUAAGUUUUCAUACAAUUUUAAGCAUUAGCAAUUGGGAAAGUCCAGGAAAGCUGCUUUCUACACGGCCCUGUUGGCACUAAAUCCCUCCCCAGCAGCAGGCCAGGCACCACCAAAACCAGCCACCCUUUCUGCAGCGUGAAGGCACUACAAGAAGUGACACUUGAGAUGAGAAAGAGCGCAUGGGUUUGUUAAACCACUCACACACACAUAUGCACAAACACAAGAAGCAUUCUAAAGGUGUUCAGCGGAGGAGGACCUUUACUCACAGGACUGAACAUUUUCCCUGUGAUCUCGCUGUGAAUACUUUACCUUGGUGCUUCUAGUCCUACUGAGACAACUCGUAGCGCUGUAUUGCUUUCGUAUCCCCUCCCCUUCUUUGAUGCUAAACACUUAUUUUCAGCAGUCUUUACAGAACGUCUCCCUAUUAAUUAGCAGUCCAUCUCAUAACACUUUAUCUACAGAGAAUGCAAUGCGUUAGUACUUCUUGGUACAGCCUUGGUUAUUCCUUUGAAUUAUCUGGAGGCAUUAGCUGACUAAAGUACAAUGCUUUCAUUUGCAUAAAAGACCAUCUAUUGCUAUUUUGGUUAUUCUCAAGAGAGAGCUUUUUAAAUGUUAGGUAGAAAGUUCGAUCUUAAUCAUUUGUAACUUUUCUCUCUAAACAUACAGAUCUCAUAGGAGAACACACAGACAUUUAACUUACCAUUAUUGGAGCUAUCUUUUGAAUUCCUCAGUAUCAUUAAUAUUUAAGCAGAAAAGAACAGAGCGAAACAAUUAUCCUAACGACACCACACCAGAACUAACAGAAUGAUUUUUAAGAAGUCAUACAGAACAAGUGAGAAGGUCGACCAGAAAGCGCUAGUCAGGAAUAGCCGCGAUCUGAUGAGGAGGAGGAGGUUAUGUUUCUGUGACACGAGCAGUGCACAGCUGUUACUCUAGUAAUAAUUCAUCAUAUUAAUAUUUAAAUGAGAGGAGGAGGAGGAGGAGGCCAUGAGAUUGUGUGUGACUCAACGGUCCCUCCCUGUCCUUAAGCAGAAAAAUAGGCCACCAAUACGGACAGAGCAUUGGGAGCAACCGAGUGGGAAGGUUUGUUUUCAUUUCCUCUUGAAUAAAAGUGGGCAAACUGGUCCCCGAAUCGGUCUGCCAACUGCACUGCUUUUACUGCUGAAAGCUAAAUGCCUUUUCUGCUUUCAGAAGAAGCCAUUGCCUAAGGACCAAAUUGAUCAGGGAAUUAGUGCUCCGGGUCUGCACGUUGUUUCUAGGAUUUCAGUAUAUUUCCAGAGAGCUUCCCUUCCUGCAAAGAGCUGCCCGUAGGAGCCUUGCCUGACUCAGGGAACUGCAGAACCGCUGCUGUGCUUUGCCGUUUUUCUACAGACUCGGCGAUAAAAACCCUCUCUUCC
Molecule: long non-coding RNA, 14487 nt
Filed under: Gallus gallus (chicken)
Lineage: Eukaryota; Metazoa; Chordata; Aves; Galliformes; Phasianidae
Description: lncRNA (ENSGALG00010025246.1)
Source: RNAcentral